Molecule: ribosomal RNA, 462 nt
Filed under: uncultured bacterium
Lineage: Bacteria
Description: partial 16S ribosomal RNA
Rfam family: Bacterial small subunit ribosomal RNA
Source: RNAcentral
GACGAACGCUGGCGGCGUGCUUAACACAUGCAAGUCGAGCGGUAAGGCCUUUCGGGGUACACGAGCGGCGAACGGGUGAGUAACACGUGGGUGAUCUGCCCUGCACUUCGGGAUAAGCCUGGGAAACUGGGUCUAAUACCGGAUAUGACCUCCUAUCGCAUGGUGGGUGGGGGAAAGAUUUAUCGGUGCAGGAUGGGCCCGCGGCCUAUCAGCUUGUUGGUGGGGUAAUGGCCUACCAAGGCGACGACGGGUAGCCGACCUGAGAGGGUGACCGGCCACACUGGGACUGAGACACGGCCCAGACUCCUACGGGAGGCAGCAGUGGGGAAUAUUGCACAAUGGGCGAAAGCCUGAUGCAGCGACGCCGCGUGAGGGAUGACGGCCUUCGGGUUGUAAACCUCUUUCAGCAGGGACGAAGCGCAAGUGACGGUACCUGCAGAAGAAGCACCGGCUAACUACGUG